Molecule: ribosomal RNA, 796 nt
Filed under: uncultured bacterium
Lineage: Bacteria
Description: bacterial SSU rRNA
Rfam family: Bacterial small subunit ribosomal RNA
Source: RNAcentral
GUCCGAGCGUUGUCCGGAAUUAUUGGGCGUAAAGAGCUCGUAGCGGCGUGUCGCGUCUGCUGUGAAAGACCGGGGCUUAACUCCGGUUCUGCAGUGGAUACGGGCAUGCUAAGGUAGUAGGGAGACUGGAAUUCCUGGUGUACGGUGAAAUGCGCAAUAUCAGAGGAACACCGGUGGCGAAGGCGGGUCUCUGGGCCUUACCUGACGCUGAGAGCGAAAGCAUGGGGAGCGAACAGGAUUAGAUACCCUGGUAGUCCAUGCCGUAAACGUUGGGCGCUAGUGUGGGGACUUUCCACGGUUUCCGCGCCGUAGCUAACGCAUUAAGCGCCCCGCCUGGGGAGUACGGCCGCAAGGCUAAAACUCAAAGGAAUUGACGGGGGCCCGCACAAGCGGCGGAGCAUGUUGCUUAAUUCGACGCAACGCGAAGAACCUUACCAAGGUUUGACAUCACCCGUGGACUCGCAGAGAUGUGAGGUCAUUUAGUUGGCGGGUGACAGGUGGUGCAUGGCUGUCGUCAGCUCGUGUCGUGAGAUGUUGGGUUAAGUCCCGCAACGAGCGCAACCCUUGUUCCAUGUUGCCAGCACGUAAUGGUGGGGACUCAUGGGAGACUGCCGGGGUCAACUCGGAGGAAGGUGGGGAUGACGUCAAGUCAUCAUGCCCCUUAUGUCUUGGGCUGCAAACAUGCUACAAUGGCCGGUACAAUGGGCGUGCGAUACCGUAAGGUGGAGCGAAUCCCCUUAAAAGCCGGUCUCAGUUCGGAUUGGGGUCUGCAACUCGACCCCAUGAAGGUGGAGUC